This 497-nucleotide ribosomal RNA is filed under the name uncultured bacterium. RNAcentral's name for it is "partial 16S ribosomal RNA". It matches the Rfam family "Bacterial small subunit ribosomal RNA", at positions 28 to 507 of the family's 1533-position model. The record is from RNAcentral.
GAUGAACGCUGGCGGCGUGCCUAAUACAUGCAAGUCGAGCGAACAGAUAAAGAGCUUGCUCCUUUGACGUUAGCGGCGGACGGGUGAGUAACACGUGGGUAACCUACCUAUAAGACUGGAAUAACUUCGGGAAACCGGAGCUAAUACCGGAUAACAUUUGGAACCGCAUGGUUCUAAAGUGAAAGAUGGUUUUGCUAUCACUUAUAGAUGGACCCGCGCCGUAUUAGCUAGUUGGUAAGGUAACGGCUUACCAAGGCGACGAUACGUAGCCGACCUGAGAGGGUGAUCGGCCACACUGGAACUGAGACACGGUCCAGACUCCUACGGGAGGCAGCAGUAGGGAAUCUUCCGCAAUGGGCGAAAGCCUGACGGAGCAACGCCGCGUGAGUGAUGAAGGGUUUCGGCUCGUAAAACUCUGUUAUUAGGGAAGAACAAAUGUGUAAGUAACUGUGCACGUCUUGACGGUACCUAAUCAGAAAGCCACGGCUAACUACGUG